RNAcentral lists this transfer RNA (73 nucleotides) under Candidatus Omnitrophota bacterium. Its description in RNAcentral is "Candidatus Omnitrophica bacterium tRNA-Thr". It matches the Rfam family "tRNA". Rfam says of the family: Transfer RNA (tRNA) molecules are approximately 80 nucleotides in length. Lineage: Bacteria; Pseudomonadati; Candidatus Omnitrophota. The record is from RNAcentral.
GCCGAUGUAGCUCAGAUGGUAGAGCAGCUGAUUUGUAAUCAGCGGGUCGGGGGUUCGAUCCCUCUCAUCGGCU